RNAcentral lists this ribosomal RNA (374 nucleotides) under uncultured organism. RNAcentral describes it as "partial 16S ribosomal RNA". It matches the Rfam family "Bacterial small subunit ribosomal RNA", at positions 527 to 896 of the family's 1533-position model. The record is from RNAcentral.
GUAGGUGGCAAGCGUUGUCCGGAAUUAUUGGGCGUAAAGCGCGCGCAGGCGGUUCUUUAAGUCUGAUGUGAAAGCCCACGGCUCAACCGUGGAGGGUCAUUGGAAACUGGAGAACUUGAGUACAGAAGAGGAAAGCGGAAUUCCACGUGUAGCGGUGAAAUGCGUAGAGAUGUGGAGGAACACCAGUGGCGAAGGCGGCUUUCUGGUCUGUAACUGACGCUGAGGCGCGAAAGCGUGGGGAGCAAACAGGAUUAGAUACCCUGGUAGUCCACGCCGUAGACGAUGAGUGCUAAGUGGUUUAGGGGGUACUCGCCCCCCUUAGUGCUGCAGCUAACGCAUUAAGCACUCCGGCCUGGGAGUACGGCGCAAGGCUG